Triticum aestivum (bread wheat) is the source of this 1982-nucleotide RNA transcript. It is a transcript of the gene named amino acid transporter ANT1, with no coding region annotated. The record is from RefSeq and is a predicted model, not a curated record. The transcript is spliced from 5 exons. NCBI's taxonomy places the organism in Eukaryota, Viridiplantae, Streptophyta, Magnoliopsida, Poales, Poaceae.
CCGACAGAUAUCCAGAAAGCUCCAACGUGAUCCCAUCCCGCUCACCAUCCACGGACCACGGUAGUACAACGACGGCUCCUCCUCUCGUUCCCUCGUGCGCCAAACCAGAUUCCAAAAUCAAAAUUCACUUCGAAAAGCUCCGCUACUUCUCUUGUCUCUGCGUCGCCGCCGCCACGGUUGUUGCUGCGGAUGGCUGAGGCGAAGGGGGCGGCUGCGCCGCUGCUGGCGCGGGAGGAUGGGAGACGGCGUGGAGGCUGGGGAGGAGCAACCUGGGCGCAGACGCUGGGCAACGUGGUGGUGUCCAUUGUGGGCACGGGGGUGCUCGGCCUGCCCUACGCCUUCCGAGCCGCCGGCUGGGUCGCCGGAUCCCUCGGCGUCGCCGCCGCCGGAUUCGCCACGCUCUACUGCAUGCUCCUCCUGGUGGACUGUAAAGAUAAAUUGCAGGAGGAAGAAACUGAUGAACCAAAGAAUUAUACAUAUGGAGAUUUUGGUGAGAAGUGCUUUGGGACUAUAGGUCGGUGCUUGACGGAAAUUCUCAUUCUUAUCUCACAAGCGGGUGGUUCUGUAGCUUACCUAGUAUUCAUUGGUGAAAAUCUGCAUUCCGUGUUUAGCCAGUCGAUGUCACCAGCUGGCUUCAUCUUUGCCGUCCUAUUGCCUGUGCAAAUCGCGUUGUCCUUCAUUCUUUCACUAUCCUCUCUUUCACCAUUCAGUAUAUUUGCUGAUGUGUGCAAUGUCCUAGCGGCGGCAGUGGUUAUCAGAAAAGAUCUUCAACUAAUUGAUCAUCCUUUUGCAAAUAGAAGUGCUUUUAAUGGAGUUUUGGCGAUACCUUUCGCUUUUGGAGUCGCGGUCUUCUGCUUUGAAGGAUUCAGCAUGACACUGGCACUAGAAUCAUCAAUGGCGGAACGUAGAAAGUUCCGUUGGGUGCUUUCUCAAGCAGUUGUGGGCAUCAUAGUUGUGUAUGCAUGUUUUGGAGUAUGUGGGUACUUGGCCUAUGGUGAGGCUACCAAGGACAUCAUAACACUUAAUCUUCCCAAUAGUUGGUCAUCUGCUGCUGUUAAGGUUGGCCUAUGCAUUGCACUAGCAUUCACAUUCCCAGUUAUGAUGCACCCGAUUCACGAGAUUGUGGAGACAAGGCUCAGAUCAAGUGGAUGCUUCCAGAAGCUCUCCCACGGGGUUCCUGGUGCCGAGUGGCUAGGCCUGCACUCGAGCCGCAUCAUCAUGGUGACUAUUUUAACUGUGAUGGCAUCCUGCAUACCUGCAUUUGGGUCCUUCGUCUCCUUUGUUGGGUGCACCGUCUGUGCGCUGCUCUCCUUUGUGCUACCUACCUUCUUCCACCUCAACAUCGUAGGAUCGUCAAUGAGCCUAUGGAGAAGAGUGCUGGACUACGGCUUCCUUCUGUUUGGCCUUGGUUUUGCUGGUUAUGGAAUAUUCACUGCUCUCUCGUCACACUGACUGAUGAAGUAAUGACAAAAUGUCCAAGAUCUGCAAAUUAGGGUUUAUUUCUUUGGAAGACGUGUCUGGAGAGAAAUAUCUGCUGCCCUGGGAUAACAUGCAUCAAAUUGAGAAGACUUUCAUACUCAGCUGAUUAUCCCCUGCCUUGGUUUGAUUUGUUAGGAUUUCUGUUUUUGAGUCUGAUAGUUCAUACAGAUGAUAAGGAAGCACAUGGGUCCAUCAAUGCUAUUGUCCAUGUGAAGCUGCAGAGCAAAGAAAAUACUCACCAAAUCUACUGUUCAGGCCUAGGUGGACCUGCCAAAUUUAGCCACCGUCCCGAGACAAAGAAGAAGAGCAAGUAUCGCAUCACUGCACAAAUGUCAACCUACAAGGACAUGCGGGUGAGCACCCCGGGUCUUGCUGAUCUUGCAUGCAACUGCCGUGUUCUUUUAGACCAAAUCACUUGGUGGAACGAGUAGGACACGGCCUAUUUAUCUACCAUGGCGGACACCACAUACCAGUCUCAAAAAGUGUGCGUCCACGGUUCUAGG